Molecule: non-coding RNA, 112 nt
Filed under: Flaviramulus basaltis
Lineage: Bacteria; Pseudomonadati; Bacteroidota; Flavobacteriia; Flavobacteriales; Flavobacteriaceae
Description: SAM-I sequence
Rfam family: SAM riboswitch aptamer (S box leader)
About the family: The SAM riboswitch is found upstream of a number of genes which code for proteins involved in methionine or cysteine biosynthesis in Gram-positive bacteria. The SAM riboswitch acts at the level of transcription termination control. The predicted structure consists of a complex stem-loop region followed by a single stem loop terminator region.
Source: Rfam by way of RNAcentral
AUGUUAUCAAGAAAGGUAGAGGGAAUAGACCCGCUGAAGCCUUGGCAACCCUUUAACUUUAAAGAAGGUGCUAAAUUCUACUAAUAAUUUAAAAUUAUUGGAAAGAUAACGA